UACGUAGGGGGCAAGCGUUGUCCGGAUUUACUGGGCGUAAAGAGCGUGUAGGCGGCCAAGCAGGUCCGUUGUGAAAACUGGAGGCUUAACCUCCAGACGUCGACGGAAACCGCGCGGCUAGAGUCCGGAAGAGGAGAGUGGAACUGCGAGUGUAGAGGUGAAAUUCGUAGAUAUUCACAAGAACACCAGUGGCGAAGGCGGCUCACUGGCCCGGUACUGACGCUGAGGUGCGAAAGCGUGGGGAGCAAACAGG
RNAcentral lists this ribosomal RNA (253 nucleotides) under uncultured bacterium. Its description in RNAcentral is "partial 16S ribosomal RNA". It matches the Rfam family "Bacterial small subunit ribosomal RNA", at positions 524 to 776 of the family's 1533-position model. The record is from RNAcentral.